Long non-coding RNA from Nematostella vectensis (starlet sea anemone), 1493 nucleotides. RefSeq lists it as uncharacterized. NCBI's taxonomy places the organism in Eukaryota, Metazoa, Cnidaria, Anthozoa, Actiniaria, Edwardsiidae. The transcript has 2 exons. The record is from RefSeq and is a predicted model, not a curated record.
UAACUGAUUUCUGAGGAAUUGAUAAAGCAGAGAAACACUCAAAAAGCAGAGAAACACCCAAGAGAAAAAGGAUUUAGCAAAAGCCAUGUUAUCUUCCCUUACUGAAGUCCGUCCUAAGACGGAGACAAGCCAUUAAGAGAACGAACGAACGCCCUGACACAAGCCGAUGCGUCACCACGAAACAGACAAGCCCACGCGAAUGAUGCGAAUUUGCACGGAAAAUAUGUGUAUUGAUGGAGUACCAUGAAAGACAAAGGGCUCCAACAGAGAUGGCAAAAGGUUGGAGUGUUGAAUGAGGCCGCACGUGCCAUAGGAACGGAGAUAAUUGCUUGUUUAAACUCGAGUGACCUCGUGCCUGACCCGACGAGUGAACUGUUAGAAAAGCAAUUCACAAAGCAGAAACCAGCUUGGAGUUGUGUACAAGAACAAAACCACUCUCCAGAAAAGAAUGUAAAACAGAUCUAACAGAUCUCCCCCAUUCAUAAUGAGGUCGUAUGUGCCAUAGGAACGGAGAUAAUUGCUUGCUAAAACUCGAGUGGCCUUGUGCCUGAUUCGAUGAAUAAAUUGUUAGUGAAGCAAUUAACAAAGCGGAAACCAGCCUAAAGCCGUGUACCGGAACAAAACCAUUCUACAGAAAAGAAUGUAAAACAAAUCUUAAAUGAUUGUAAUAAACGGAGAAGUUAUUCUGUCAGGUUAUGUUCGGGUGGUUAAGAUUAUGGGUUAUGAGACGACGGGUUAAGGUUGUUAUAAGAGAUGGGGUUGAUAAUAAAACGACAUGAGAGUUAUGAAUAAAGGGUUUUUUUUGUUUAGUGGAGAAGGUGGUUAGUAAAUAUGGUAUUAUGUGGAGAUUGAAACAGUUAAAAUCGGAAGCUUGUUGCGAGUGUUGUGUAGCGGAUGUGAAGAGGUGAUGGCGGCAUUAAUAAAAUCUGAUAAAGGGGGAUAAUGUGAGUGUGAACAGAAUGAUAAGCAGGGAUAUUGUGAAAAGACUGUGUAGUGUUUAUGGGAAAGUGUGUUGUGUGUAGGGUGGGAAAGUAAUGUGUAGGAUAAGAGAAAGAAAAGUGUUUGGAUUGUAGGGAGGAAAUGGUGAGCGGUAAUGGGGAGGGUGAGGUAUGUGUGGAGGUAUGUAUCUAAUGAAGUGUGUAAAUGGUAUGACUGACAGGCGAAAUUAAACAACAAUAGAGACCGAAUGAGUGUUGCGAAAACGCCGAGAAAAGAUAAAAAAUACUGUAGCGGUGAAAGGGUGUAUUGCGGACAAUGGAAAUUGAUGCUAGUAAAACGGCGAGAAGAAGAUGAAGUAGGGGCGCGGGAGGCGACAAAGGGAGCGCGGUGAGAGUGGAGAUGACGCUGAAACGUUAACAAGACAGGAAGGAUAGUUUUCUCCAGAUGAAGCGAUAAUCGGUGGUGAGAGAUAAGGGUAAAAGGCAAAGGCACGAAGAAAACAACCGGCAUGUAUAUGCAAAAUGGACAUAACAAAAUAAACCAAUAAGACAAAA